GUCAAUGGAAACCAAAGUUAGUAGAUUCACUGGAAGAACGUCUAGUUGUGAUGAAUUUGAAUCUUUUAGAAAUUCAAUACAGAUCUCUGUGACCUUUAGCUCAGUAAGCUUAAUCAUCCAUACCACAUAAGAGAUGUUACACUUCACAUAUUCAAUAUCCUUUACUUCACCGACGAAAUAGCAGUAUGACCAAUAAACUGCUCUAACAAUAACAGAUCCUAUACGAGCUAAAAUGUCUGCCAAUUUCUCUUUCUGAAUGCUGUCCUUGGAAUCUUUUUGAUCAACCAGCCAACUCAGGAAAUUUCUCACAAAUAUUAUCUUUUCUUCAAGGGCUUCAAAUUGUGUAUUCACAGAUACAAUCAAAUCGGUUUCACAGAUCUAGAUAUCCUUCGGAAUCUCUAGGUGAGAAUCAGCCAAUUCUUUCAAAGUUUCUUUCGUCAAGGGAGCAUCUAAUAGUAUUUUUGAAUAAUGCAAAGUAUAGCAAACUCUAAUUCCCUCCUUAUAGCCCUUCAUCUCUUUUAUCAUAUUAGAAACAAAGAGUUGGAAGUCUCUGGUCAUGCUUUUAUCAGUUGUUAGUUUAAGACAAAGUGAGUGAAGUUCUGAUACAGCAUUCCACACAAAGCGUCUGGUUUGCCUCUCAGAAAAAUACAGGUCGGUCUUCCCUCUCGACCCUUGCAAAAUGUUCUCAAAAACCUUAGAUCCAGUUUAAGAGUGUGGAUUUGAUGAUCAAUAGGAAUUUUUGAAUGAUCAACAGCAGAAAUCAAGCCCCUGCUUUUGUCUAGGUACUCAAGAAGUUUCGUGACAUAACCAGCGUAAGUAAUGUCCAUAUAGUUCUAAAGCCACAGCAAAGGUUUCACAAGAUAAGCAGCAGAAGUCGAGCCCCUAUGGAUGGUUCUCAUCCCCUGCACAGAUUUCACAUUGUCAUCUGCAGAAAUGAAUAUACAAUAUUCAGCUCUUUUUCUCUUUGAUGAAGCAUAAAUGGGAAGUCCGUGUAAUCUGGUAGUAGAAGAAACAGAAGAUCUUGCUAACCAACAUGCAACAUUGACAAAUUGAUGAGAUUCGUGUGGAAGAACUAGCACUUGAGUACAUGGAACGCUUGGAUGACGGCGUUCAAAGAAAUUGACAUAACUUUCACAUACGGUGUCCAUUUUGGGCCCAUAACCCCAUUUCGAAAAACUUGCGACGAUUCUGGAUGAACUCACCGCUUAGCCGUGACAUAUGAUGAAUUUUGGUUGUUUGAAUUCGUUUACUGGGUCAAAACAGCAUUUCAAAUUUCUUAAUUUAUUAUUUUCAGUAUUUGUUAUUUUCGCUUUAUAGCCCAACCCAUUAAAGGACUGCUGG
This 1341-nucleotide long non-coding RNA is filed under the name Olea europaea subsp. europaea. The record is from RNAcentral. Lineage: Eukaryota; Viridiplantae; Streptophyta; Magnoliopsida; Lamiales; Oleaceae.